AUGCAGCUCGCACUGAGCCUGCCACAGUCCCUGCAGGGAGCCCUGCCUCUGACGGCUCCAGCUGGCAGGUGGCUGCUUUCCUUGCACGUGUGGGAGAAGUUCAUAGUUUCUUGGAUUCAGCCAACAGGCUUGUUACUCACUCACAUACUUCAUUUGCAAUCAGAGACUAAAGCUGAGACUGUGACACAGACACAGCCAUGCCUCUGCAAUCCUACAUGACAUCGCUUACGAGCAGACAGCAUGUCCUGUUUCCUCACGUGUAGAUACCACAGGGCUGUCCAUUCUGAUCUCUAACACUGGCUCUUAUCAGAUCUCAAGGAACCACUAAUAGAGUGACUGGCAACAAACAAAUUGCUGAAAAGAGCAAAGAGAAACUCCCCUGCUUACCUCAGGCCCAUCAAAGACUGGCAGCUGGAUCCAGCUUGGGCUGCUCCCUGGAGCAAGUAGACAACGUAGAGUGAAUGACACUUAACCUUACAGCAAAUGGAGGACUUAAAUCCAUUCACUGAAAUUAUAUGCCUUCCUAGAAAAGCACAUCUCAUGUGAUUAAAAAUCUAACUUCCAGCUAUGAAAUUCUGAGAACUUUUGUGCCAGGCAAAGAUUUACACAAAAAUCUAUUUCAGAGUGCAUGAAGAGACCUGAGAGACCUAUUUGUCACAGUGAAAAUGAAUGUCAGGCUGGGGAGGAAAUACAAACAUUUUACUUGCUUCAGCUGAUUCAGGUGUUCAGAUUGCUGUCAGAUUAGCAGAUAAGCUCCGUGAGGGUUACUGGGGAGCUGAUCAUGGCUGAGGGCAGGCAGGGAGCAAACACCCUGCAAGGCUCCUGUUUCUCUGACUGGCUCCUGGCAAUGUAAUCAGCACAGCCUGCUUUACUUCAUUCAGAUCCCAAGCACCUGCAAACACAGCCAGGUCCUUGGCGUGAGAUUGUUUUCAAGCUUGUUACCUGGGAAGGGUGGUGUAAAGUCCUUUGCCCCAGAGGCCUCUUUGUCUUUGACCUAUGCACGAGCCCUCAGUGACUUAGGGUACAGAGCAGAAAGCGAAGGAAGGUUCUGGAUGCAGCUCAGGCUGUGGGUCCAAAGCCCAGCGGUGGCUCCAGCUGUGUCUGAGGGCCCUCACUCUGGUUGCCAGAGGCAGGAGUGAUGAUGGAAGGCAUGUUUCUCUUCCCUGCCAGCAUUCCAGUGACGAUGCCAGGGCCCAGAAUGGACCCGGAAGUCUGGACCUGACCUCCACACUAGCGGUGUCCUGCUCCUAAGGAGAGCACAGUACAAAA
Molecule: long non-coding RNA, 1269 nt
Filed under: Numida meleagris (helmeted guineafowl)
Lineage: Eukaryota; Metazoa; Chordata; Aves; Galliformes; Numididae
Description: lncRNA (ENSNMEG00000014497.1)
Source: RNAcentral